This is a non-coding RNA of Haliaeetus albicilla (white-tailed eagle), 46 nucleotides long. Lineage: Eukaryota; Metazoa; Chordata; Aves; Accipitriformes; Accipitridae. The record is from Rfam.
CAGUUGGUUUUUUUAAAAACCACACACAAGAAAGAAAAGAUUUCCU